GAUGAAGAACGUAGCGAAAUGCGAUAAGUAGUGUGAAUUGCAGAAUUCAGUGAAUCAUCGAAUCUUUGAACGCACAUUGCGCCCCUUGGUAUUCCAUGGGGCAUGCCUGUUCGAGCGUCAUUUGUACCUUCAAGCUCUGCUUGGUGUUGGGUGUUUGUCUCGCCUCUGCGCGUAGACUCGCCUCAAAACAAUUGGCAGCCGGCGUAUUGAUUUCGGAGCGCAGUACAUCUCGCGCUUUGCACUCAUAACGACGACGUCCAAAAGUACAUUUUUACACUCUUGACCUCGGAUCAGGUAGGGAUACCCGCUGAACUUAAGCAUAUCAAUAAGCGGGGGA
RNAcentral lists this unclassified non-coding RNA (337 nucleotides) under soil metagenome. Its description in RNAcentral is "partial contains 5.8S ribosomal RNA, internal transcribed spacer 2, and large subunit ribosomal RNA". The stretch from base 1 to 120 matches the Rfam family "5.8S ribosomal RNA", at positions 35 to 154 of the family's 154-position model. The record is from RNAcentral.